Molecule: long non-coding RNA, 284 nt
Filed under: Gossypium barbadense (sea-island cotton)
Lineage: Eukaryota; Viridiplantae; Streptophyta; Magnoliopsida; Malvales; Malvaceae
Description: long non-coding RNA (GBAR_LNC005558)
Source: RNAcentral
UUAGUGAUUUUUCAAACUCACGUCACUGCUGCUGUCUGAAUCUAUUUUAUGAUAAAUUUUACCUAUUUCAUGGUUUCCAUGGAUUAGCUAGCAAUUUAGCAUACAUAACACCAAAUAUGAUCAUGAUUAGCCAUUCCAAUGGCUAAUCAUUACCAAGCAUUUCCAUACCACUCAAUAACCAUAUCAUAAGACCAUAUACACAAAAUGAUUAUAAUGCUAUACAUGCCAUACUCAAAAUAUACAAGCCAUUAUGCCAAGAUGGUAUACGGAUAGUGUGAGCGUGC